UCCCUCUCCCUCUCCCUCUCCCGACAACUCUCUCUCUCUCUCCCCCGACUCUCAGCUUCUUCCUACCCCCGACUCUCUCUCUCUCGCGCGCGAGCUGCCUUUAAUUUCAGGGCUUAGAUGAAGAUCUGAAACAGCCCUACCCACGCACGCCCUCUCUCUCUGAAGCUCGGUUGAGGAACUCUUGCAUGCUUCCAUUGCUUGCUGCAGGAAACUUAUAGUGGAAUGGGUUCUGGCUGCCCACCUUGAAGAUACAACUGCAAAAGAGCAUAUUACCAGAUGCUGAAUUCUAUCGCUGGGGAGCAGGACUCAUGUGUGACACUGGCACCUAAGUGCAUUAAAUGCUAAUCCCACUUGGUUGUGGGCAGAGUUGUGUCAACAUAGGAUCUGGUAAAUUAUAUUUCUAAAGGUACCCUUGAUGUGCAUAU
Molecule: long non-coding RNA, 425 nt
Organism: Magnolia sinica
Lineage: Eukaryota; Viridiplantae; Streptophyta; Magnoliopsida; Magnoliales; Magnoliaceae
Exons: 4
Source: RefSeq, a predicted model, not a curated record